Neofelis nebulosa (Clouded leopard) is the source of this 3790-nucleotide RNA transcript. It is a transcript of the gene named arylsulfatase G, with no coding region annotated. The record is from RefSeq and is a predicted model, not a curated record. NCBI's taxonomy places the organism in Eukaryota, Metazoa, Chordata, Mammalia, Carnivora, Felidae. The transcript has 13 exons.
CAAAACAAAAAAUCAGAAUUGCCAGAGCAAAGUGAUUUUCAUCCCAUUGCUUUCAGGAAUAAAUCUAUGUCCUGUCAAAAGUUGAAGACACAGAUGUGGGUCACGAAAUCUAAUCGGCCAUGCUGGAAAGCGUGUAGGACCACUGGGUUUGGCCCCGAUUAAAUCAGGCUUUCUGUGCACAUUUCUUGAGGGUGCCCCACCCAUCAUGUCGCUCAAGGCCAAGGAAUAAAAACCUGCUUCUCCUGCUAUGUUUCUGGCCUAAAGGGAGAUGCUGGCUCUCCCCCCUUCUUGUCUAAACAUGCUCAGCCUGUCCUGCUGCUCUCUGGAACAAUACGCAGUGUUAAGCUUUGAUUUUAACCCUUUCGGAGCAGUGCAUCUGGUCAUUUCCAGAUGGCUAGGGGGUCGGGGACGGUGCACGGAAGCUGGAAGGCUGGUCUAGGCUGUGUUAUGAACAGGGGGCCAGGAGGGGACCCUGGCCGUGGUUGUGGUCGGUGGAGGGUUCUGGCCCUCCUUAGGGGAGCCCACAUGCUUAGCCGGGGUCCAUGGUGGGACUGGGGACGGGGAGCGUCCAUCCCACCUUCCCCCGGCCGCUGGCUCUCCAUCCAGGCAGCCUCUGCUCAUUACAGCCUACGCACGAGCCCUCAUGAAUGCAGUUGUUUCCUGGGCCACAGAACCACACCCCAGAGAAUGUGGUCCCUCCUCUCCGAGUGUUUACUGUCUAGUUCAGAAGACAGGACACGUGUGAUUGUUACCUAAAGCAGGAUUUCAACAAGUGCGCUUUUAUGAGGGAGGACCUCACAGAGGAAGGGGAACUCAGAAAGGCCAUGUGAGGUUAGGGAAGUGAAGAGACAGGGCUGAGGUCUGCGGGCGGGACAGAGCAGGCUUGGCCACAGUUGGAUCCUGUGAGGUGCAUUCAGCCGGCCAGUAUUGAUCGAACUCCCUCCAGGAGUCCAGUACCAGGAUCAUGCAGAAACCUGACAGAAACAUGAAGCCCUCCACCAUCUGGAACUGAGAAACCCAUUCAAGGCUGACUGCGGCUUCUAGAACGUCCAGGUGUUCUGCAGAUGUGAGAAUUUAUCCUGCUCUCACCAGCUGGAGUCCCGAACAGAUGCAAAGCUUGUGCUGUGGCCCUAACGUCCCUGAGCACAGAGGGGUCGUUUUUGAAGUGGCCAAAGAGCCAUCACUGACACGGGUAUCUGAUUGCCGCACGCGGCUGGUCGGCUGGUCGUCUCUCAGAGCUGCAGGGGGCAAACCAAAUUCGAGGUUGCAAAUUUCCUGACUGUCUUGGAUUAGGAUGCCAGGUGGGGGCCUCAUUUCCACAGCCCCAGCGUCCUUCUAGGCACCCCACCAACACGACCCCCACAACCAGUAUCUCCUUGCAGACUCCACCACUGCUUCUCCAGAGACUCCCUGCACUUUAAGUGAGCAGAAGGAAGCUCUUGGAAAAAUCCUUAGCUGUGGCCCACAGACAGUCAUUGCCCUCCCCUGCCCACCAUGGGCUGGCUUUUUCUAAAGGUUCUCUUCGUGGGGGUGACUUUCCUGGGAUGUCUUUAUCCUCUCGUGGAUUUUUGCUGCAGCGGGGACACAAGAGGCCAGAAGCCGAAUUUUGUGAUCAUUUUGGCAGAUGACAUGGGGUGGGGUGACCUGGGAGCAAACUGGGCAGAAACGAAGGACACUGCCAACCUUGAUGAGAUGGCCGCAGAAGGAAUGAGGUUUGUGGAUUUCCACGCAGCUGCCUCCACGUGCUCCCCCUCCAGGGCCUCCCUGCUCACCGGACGGCUCGGCCUUCGCAAUGGAGUCACGCACAACUUUGCGGCCACUUCCGUGGGGGGUCUUCCGCUCAACGAGACCACCUUGGCUGAGGUGCUGCGGCACGCUGGCUAUGUCACUGGGAUGAUAGGCAAAUGGCAUCUCGGGCACCAUGGAUCUUACCACCCCAACUUCCGCGGUUUUGAUUACUACUUUGGAAUCCCGUACAGCCACGACAUGGGCUGCACCGAUACCCCGGGCUACAACCACCCUCCUUGUCCAGCGUGUCCACGGGGGGACGGGGACGGACCGUCAAGGCCUCCCUUUCCACAAGACGCCAGGUGGCUUCGUGUGCACGUCUCAGGGGGAGAAGUGAAGUGCGAUACGUCUCGUCGCUGCCCUCCUUACCAGCUGCGGCUUGGGGGGCACAUCUGUGGUCACACUUGGACCCACGAGAGGGACUGUUACACGGACGUGGCCCUUCCUCUGUACGAAAACCUCAACAUCGUGGAGCAGCCGGUGAACCUGAGCGGUCUUGCGCAGAAAUAUGCAGAGAAAGCUACCCAGUUCAUCCAACACGCGAGUGCCAGCGGAAGGCCCUUCUUGCUGUACGUGGCCCUGGCUCAUAUGCAUGUACCCUUAUCCGGGACAUGGCUCUCCGCAGACCGACGGGGCCGGAGGCCAUAUGGUGCAGCUCUCCGGGAGAUGGACCGCCUGGUGGGCCAGAUCAAGGACAAAGUCGACCGCACGGCAAGGGAAAACACAUUCCUCUGGUUUACAGGAGACAACGGCCCGUGGGCUCAGAAGUGUGAGCUGGCCGGGAGCGUGGGUCCCUUCACUGGAUCGUGGCAGACUCAUCAAGGGGGAAGUGCAGCCAAGCAGACCACGUGGGAAGGUGGGCACCGGGUCCCGGCUCUGGCCUACUGGCCUGGCACCGUUCCCAUCAACGUCACCAGCACUGCCUUGUUAAGUGUGCUGGACAUCUUCCCCACUGUGGUGGCCCUGGCGGGGGCCAGCCUACCCCAAGACCGGCACUUUGACGGCUUGGAUGCCUCUUCCGUGCUUUUUGGCUGGUCGCAGACUGGGCACCGGGUUCACAUGGAAGUGACUCAAACGCGCUGCUCGGAUGUGGCCCGGUGGUUUGUGACGCGGCCCCCGCCACGGAGCCCCGAGGGGGCCAUCCGUGCUUCCGAGAGCGUUCCUGCAGUUUCUAGGGGUUGUCUGACGCUGCCUGAAAUGCCCUCUGAGCAAGUACUGCUUCUCCCGGGACACCCAACCUUCUAGAGCUGCGCAGGCUUCCAGGCUGAGCCCCACCGCUGGGGAGCUGCAAAGAGCAGGAAGAUGGUUUCCGCCUCCGGACUGGACGUUCGUUCGCAGUGUGUGACCCCGGGGGGUUAUCGAAGACGUCAGUGGAGAGGUGCUCCUGAGUGUUUAUCACCACGGCUACUAAUAGAAUCAUUGGGGUCACCAGGAAGUGCUUCAAGGACUCCGGGCUCCUUGACGCAGCCGCUCCUGCCUGUGGAAGCCAGAACCUUUGCGCUCACUUCCGCUCUCAGAGGGGAGAGCGGUCCCUCUCUCUAGUUGCAGCCCUUUCUUCUGCAGAGUCAUGCUCAGGGCCUAACAGUUACUGGCCUAGUGUCCGACAGGGUUGGUCCUGGCAGGGGGAGUAGAGGCAGGCCCCAACACUGGUUGGGGUUUUCGUGGGGACAGAUGAUGUGUGGUAAGGCGGCUGGAGUGGGGGCUGGCUUGCUCCCUGACCACACCGCAGGGCCCAGAAGGAAACAGCCACCACUUACUGCUUGCAGGAAGCUGCUGAUAGUAUCUUCUAGAGCAAAGGCCCUGGGGUGCUGGCACCUGCAGGCUACACCCAGCCUCCCAGAGCUCUGGAUUCCCUGCAGAGGGCGUGAAGAUGCUGUAGAUGAGAUUGUUUGGAGUUUGAGGGCAACCCAGGUGCUGUUUCACCCCAACAGUGGGGCAGCUGGAGAGUAUGGAGCCCUUCAGACCGUCCGCCUGGAACAACACAAGGCCUUCUACGUCACCG